RNAcentral lists this ribosomal RNA (253 nucleotides) under uncultured bacterium. RNAcentral's name for it is "partial 16S ribosomal RNA". It matches the Rfam family "Bacterial small subunit ribosomal RNA", at positions 524 to 776 of the family's 1533-position model. The record is from RNAcentral.
UACAGAGGGUGCGAGCGUUAAUCGGAAUUACUGGGCGUAAAGCGUGCGUAGGUGGUUCUUUAAGUCAGGUGUGAAAUCCCUGGGCUCAACCUAGGAACUGCAUUUGAUACUGAAGAGCUAGAGUGUGGUAGAGGAUAGUGGAAUUCCCGGUGUAGCGGUGAAAUGCGCAGAUAUCGGGAGGAACACCUAUGGCGAAGGCAGCUCGCUGGGACGUUACUGACGCUGAGACGCGAAAGCGUGGGGAGCAAACAGG